Molecule: ribosomal RNA, 254 nt
Filed under: uncultured bacterium
Lineage: Bacteria
Description: partial 16S ribosomal RNA
Rfam family: Bacterial small subunit ribosomal RNA
Source: RNAcentral
UACGUAGGGUGCGAGCGUUGUCCGGAAUUAUUGGGCGUAAAGAGCUCGUAGGCGGUGUGUCACGUCGGCCGUGAAAACCUGCAGCUUAACUGUGGGCGUGCGGUCGAUACGGGCAUCACUGGAGUUCGGCAGGGGAGACUGGAAUUCCUGGUGUAGCGGUGAAAUGCGCAGAUAUCAGGAGGAACACCGGUGGCGAAGGCGGGUCUCUGGGCCGAUACUGACGCUGAGGCGCGAAAGCCAGGGGAGCGAACAGG